Molecule: non-coding RNA, 180 nt
Organism: Acinetobacter baumannii
Lineage: Bacteria; Pseudomonadati; Pseudomonadota; Gammaproteobacteria; Moraxellales; Moraxellaceae
Source: Rfam
AGAUUUUCAACGGCACUUUUUAAAAAAGGAGGACAUCAUGCCAACACUACAAGGUAAAACACAGUAACGGUUUGGCACGAUGUCAGCUCACGGACAAGUGUACAAAUUUAAUUCACUUGUCCGAAUGCUCGAAUUUAAGACCUAGCAUUCGCUAGGUUUUUUUAUGCCUAUUCGGACAAU